AUGUUGGCCCUUGUUCUGCUCAUACUGCUGAGCCGCGACGGGCAAGUGGCCUCGUCGCUGGACGAUGGCCAGUUCGCCUACCAAGGUUUCGUCGGUGUUAACCUCACGCUGGACGGCAUGGCCACCGUCAUGCCCAACGGCCUCCUCGGGCUCACCAACUCCACGCAGCAGACGAAAGCCCACGCGUUCCACUCCACCCCACUCCACUUCCUCCACAAGCCGACGCCGCCGACGAACACCACCGCCGUGCCGCGCUCCUUCUCCACGUCCUUCGUGUUCGCCAUCGUGUCAAGAUACGAUGGCGUCAGCGACCACGGGCUCGCCUUCGUCGUCUCCCCGACCACAAAUUUCACGGCAGCAAACGGCGGGCAAUACCUGGGCCUCCUCAACGCGACAAACGGCCCGGUGAGCAGCCCCAUCUUGGCGGUGGAGCUUGACACCAUCCUGAGCCCCGAGUUCCGCGACAUCAACAGCAACCACGUCGGCAUCGACGUCAAUAGCCUCAUCUCGCAGCAGGCCCAGCCGGCUGGCUACAACGACGAUGACCACGGCGGCGCCUUCCGAGACCUGAAGCUAGAUAGCGGCAAGCCCAUGCAGGUGUGGGUGGACUACGACGGCCAGUCCAAGCAACUCAAGGUGACUUUGGCUCCCGUGCAAGUGCCCAAGCCUAGGAAUCCUCUCCUCUCCCAAGCCAUCGAUCUCUCCACGCUCAUGCCAGAUGCGAUGUACGUCGGCUUCUCGACGUCGAUAUAUGCCGGCUUCUCGUCGUCGUCGGGAGUUGUCCUGGCACACCACUACGUGCUCGGAUGGAGCUUCAGCUUGGACGGACCUGCCCCGCCGCUUGACUUGUCCAAGCUUCCUGCCUUGCCACGCGUGGGAGCCAAGCCUCGGUCCAAGGUCCUGGAUGUUGUGUUGCCGCUCACCACCGCGUUGCUCGUGGCUGCAGUGCUAGCUGUGGUCUUCUUCUCUGUGUGGAGUCGGCGCCGGUUUGCCGAGGUACGCGAAGACUGGGAAGACGAGUUUGGUCCCCAUCGUUUUGCGUACAAGGACCUGCAUCGUGCCACGGAUGGGUUCACGGAGCGGAAUUUACUUGGCGUCGGAGGAUUUGGGAGGGUAUAUAAAGGGGUGCUUUCUGCAUCCAAUUCGGAGAUCGCGGUGAAGAGGGUGUCACAUGAUUCAAGGCAAGGAAUACGGGAGUUCAUAGCUGAGGUGGUGAGCAUUGGCCGUCUUCGACACCGGAAUCUUGCGCAGCUGCUGGGCUACUGCCGGCGCAAGGACCAGCUUCUCUUGGUUUAUGACUACAUGCCAAAUGGCAGUCUUGACAAGUAUUUGCACCAUCCACGUAUGCCAGCAAUAUUCUGGCCCCAAAGGUACUGGAUCAUCAAAGGUGUUGCAUCAGGCCUAUUGUAUCUUCACGAGGAUUGGGAAAAAGUUGUGAUUCAUAGGGAUAUAAAGGCAAGCAAUGUGCUCUUGGAUGAACAAUUGAAUGGGUGUCUGGGAGAUUUUGGCCUAGCAAAAUUAUAUGACCAUGGAACUGAUGCUCAAACAACCCAUGUUGUUGGCACCAGGGGAUACCUCGCACCAGAGCUUGUGCGCACCGGGAAGGCAACGCCCUUAACCGAUGUAUUCGCAUUCGGUAUGUUCCUUCUAGAGGUUGCAUGUGGACGAAGGCCAAUCCAGCAUGACGAGCACAACUCAGUGGUGUUGGUUGAUUGGGUGCGUGAGUGCUGCCGCAAUGGAUCGAUCCUCGAGGUGAUGGAUCCGCGACUGACAGGAAAGUUUGACAUAGAGGAGAUUACCCUCGUACUGCAACUUGGGUUGUUGUGCUCGCACCCAUUACCUAAUGCGAGACCUAGCAUGCGGAAGGUCAUGCAAUGUCUAGACUGCGGUAAAUGCGUCCCGGACUUGUCGUCGACUUUCGCGCUAAUGCAAACCGAAGGCUCCGAUCUGCACGUCAUGUCGUUCUCUCUGUCGGAGACUAGCACUAGUGUUGUGUCUUGUGGGUCUUCAGUGACGGUUCUAGCUGAGGGCAGAUGA
This 2037-nucleotide ribosomal RNA is filed under the name Triticum aestivum (bread wheat). RNAcentral's name for it is "partial small subunit ribosomal RNA". Lineage: Eukaryota; Viridiplantae; Streptophyta; Magnoliopsida; Poales; Poaceae. The record is from RNAcentral.